UACAGAGGGUGCGAGCGUUAAUCGGAAUUACUGGGCGUAAAGGGCGCGUAGGCGGCGAUCCGAGUCAGAUGUGAAAGUCCUGGGCUUAACCUGGGGACUGCAUUUGAUACUGGAUUGCUUGAAUUCGGGAGAGGAUAGCGGAAUUCCCAGUGUAGAGGUGAAAUUCGUAGAUAUUGGGAAGAACACCGGUGGCGAAGGCGGCUAUCUGGACCGACAUUGACGCUGAGGCGCGAAAGCGUGGGGAGCAAACAGG
This 253-nucleotide ribosomal RNA is filed under the name uncultured bacterium. RNAcentral describes it as "partial 16S ribosomal RNA". It matches the Rfam family "Bacterial small subunit ribosomal RNA", at positions 524 to 776 of the family's 1533-position model. The record is from RNAcentral.